UAAGGAAUAUUGGUCAAUGGACGCAAGUCUGAACCAGCCAUGCCGCGUGAAGGAUGAAGGUCCUCUGGAUUGUAAACUUCUUUUAUAGGGGGCGAAAAAAGGGAAAUCUUUCUCACUUGACAGUACCCUAUGAAUAAGCACCGGCUAACUCCGUGCCAGCAGCCGCGGUAAUACGGAGGGUGCAAGCGUUAUCCGGAUUCACUGGGUUUAAAGGGUGCGUAGGCGGGCGUAUAAGUCAGUGGUGAAAUCCUGGAGCUUAACUCCAGAACUGCCAUUGAUACUAUAUGUCUUGAAUAUGGUGGAGGUAAGCGGAAUAUGUCAUGUAGCGGUGAAAUGCAUAGAUAUGACAUAGAACACCUAUUGCGAAGGCAGCUUACUACGCCUAUAUUGACGCUGAGGCACGAAAGCGUGGGGAUCAAACAGGAUUAGAUACCCUGGUAGUCCACGCCCUAAACGAUGAUUACUCGACGUGUGCGAUAAACGGUACGCGUCUGAGCGAAAGCAUUAAGUAAUCCACCUGGGAAGUACGACCGCAAGGUUGAAACUUAAAGGAAUUGACGGGGUCAUA
This 568-nucleotide ribosomal RNA is filed under the name uncultured bacterium. Its description in RNAcentral is "partial 16S ribosomal RNA". It matches the Rfam family "Bacterial small subunit ribosomal RNA", at positions 355 to 923 of the family's 1533-position model. The record is from RNAcentral.